GGUGGGUGUGGAGGUAGGGGCAGGUGAAGAGGGCUUAGGGUCUGGCAAGCUUCUUUGGAGGCUCCUAAGCAGUCUGAGAAGCUUUUCCACUGGUGUGGGACUUAAAGCUUGCCUCUGUGCCCAUCACUGCAUGCAGACUGCAUUCUGGGUCAGGCUGGAACAAUCCCACAGCUGAAACAGCCACUCCUAGGCCAAGUCUACAUGAACCUAUGUUGGACUUCAGUAUCCGUAAUGGUGUUCAUGGUCAGGAAGGGGGCCAGGACCACGCUGAAUACAAAAAGGCCCAGAGACCACCCAGCUUCCUGGAAGGACCACAUCAGAGAGAUACCACAUCUGAGAAGAGAAGCAGCCAGCUCAGUCGCCUCACCGCCAGCUCAGUUGCCUCACCGUCAGAGUUAAUGAGAAGGGUGCCCUGACCCCACCCCUUCACCCGCCGCAGGACCAGACAAGAAGGAGCCUGAUGCUUGGGCUGGGGCCUGCCUGCCCUUCCCUUCCCCUCCCACUCACCCCAGGGAGGGGAUUCCUGCAAGGACCUCUGGCAGAAGGCUUCUGAGGAUUGAGAGAGACCAAGGAGACACCAAGACAGUGUUCUGCCGAGAAGAGAGGCCACCAGCCCCACCCUGCCUCUGCACCUGCCACCACUCACACCCAGGGCUCUGUCCCCACCUAUGGUCUCUGACCUCUCUGCCUCAGCACAGGGACUGGCUGUGGAGUGGAAGAAAAUGUGCCAGCCUUUUCUUGAAGGUCUUGAAAGGAAGCCAACAGAAGUACCAUCUAUGACCAGGCUACUGUUUCCAGGAAUUUCUGGGAAACUGUUAAGAAGUAUUUACACAUUCUGAAAAUGAAUACCGGUAGUUGCUUGUCAUCAGAAUCUGCAAUAGGGAAGCAAACUGUUACUUUCUCCUUCCUCAGUUAUGCAUGUUUGUCUCAAGACAACUACUGCUCUCCCCGUGUCAUUUUGCCCAAUUUGGACAUUGGCCCUAUCUCCUGUUCAAUAUGGUGAUAACUGAGAUCAGGAAAUAGGAUUUGUUAUGACUUUGCUGAAGGUUUUGUGAUAAGAAAAGGAUAUUUUUAUGAAACAGAGAAUUUCAAAACUAAGUAUCACUGCUCUUGGGGUUUGCAGAGGGGUCUUGUCCUGGUACUUCUCUGCCUGCCCCUAGUCUGCCCCCAUGUUGCAAGGACCAGUAGACCUGACUGCAGUGGAAAUGCCCUGAACACAGAUCUGCCUCUGUGUUCACGUUCAGGGGGGAACCCCUGCCCCAAACGACAGGAUGUGAUCUUGUCUUUUGGCACAAAGCAUCAGAACAAAACCAGAGCAAAAUACAUCUCCAAAGAAUGGAUUCUUCAGUACAGAACAGCACUGUCCAUAGUCCUGUACAAUUUCUCUUCAUAACUUGAGGUGCACAGAAGCUCAACUCUCUGUUCUUCAAGCCACCUUGGAGUCUUGGCUUCUGAUCUCCUGCAAAAAAAUGACUUGAACAACAACCCAUACAUCUUCUAGGAAUAAUCAACAAUACCCAGAAUUAGCAAAAGACCUCUGAAUAUUGGAAAAAAAGACUACCUUUUACAUUCCCACAAAGAAGUCCUGAAGUCAAAGUUCUCAAACUCUCUCCUGGACUAUAGUCUCUGCUCUGUAUUUGGGUAAGUCUGACCAAACCUGACGCCUUCUCUCUAUUUAAAUCAGACCUUCCUGUUCCAACAUCAGAUCACCCUCUUUCCUUUGUUUUCUUAAAAGCACUUAACAAUUUAUAGCUAUACAUGUAUUUCUGAGAUUGGUUGGUCAACUAUUCUCUCCCUUUCUAGAGUCGUUCCCAGGAGGCAUGGAUCGUGUUUCCUUUGCUCAUCCCUGUGUCCCCAGUGCCUAGCACAGUGUUGGGCACACAUUAGGUAAUCAGUAGACAUUUCUUGCCAGUACUCUUGCCUGGAAAAUCCCAUGGACAGAGGGGCCUGGUGGGCUGCAGUCCAUGGGGUUGAUAAGAGUUGG
Molecule: long non-coding RNA, 1984 nt
Organism: Bubalus bubalis (water buffalo)
Lineage: Eukaryota; Metazoa; Chordata; Mammalia; Artiodactyla; Bovidae
Exons: 4
Source: RefSeq, a predicted model, not a curated record